RNAcentral lists this transfer RNA (66 nucleotides) under Pelecinus polyturator. Its description in RNAcentral is "tRNA-Leu". Lineage: Eukaryota; Metazoa; Arthropoda; Insecta; Hymenoptera; Pelecinidae. The record is from RNAcentral.
GUUAUUUUGGCAGAUUAGUGCAGUAAAUUUAGAAUUUAAUUUAAUAUAGAUAUUCUAUAAAUAAUA